Molecule: long non-coding RNA, 1621 nt
Organism: Dermacentor albipictus
Lineage: Eukaryota; Metazoa; Arthropoda; Arachnida; Ixodida; Ixodidae
Source: RefSeq, a predicted model, not a curated record
GUGGCCAAUGGGGAAGACUGUGUCUUUCAAAGAUAAAUGUGUUUCAAUAGGCUGUAGAGAUUGGAUACUUUAUGUGCAAUAAGAUGGUCAUGCGCUCAAAGAAAUUUUUAACAUGUAGGUGUUGUCUUUAUUGUAAGCGGCAAAAAAUCACCACAGCACACAGAAGCUGUUAGGAAAGAGGAGCGGUGGUUUUACGCGAGCUUGUGGAAGAAGCGAAAGAAAGAAAGAAAGAAAGAAAGAAAGAAAGAAAGAAAGAAAGAAAGAAAGAAAGAAAGAAAGAAAGAAAGAAAGAAAGGCUUGUUGAGAUCACUGCUCAGUCGAUGCGAUACAGUUCGUAAACAGUGAUAACUGUGGUAGUUGCUUCCUGAUGAUAGCUUGUACAGCGUUGGAAUGCUGAUAGCAAGGCAAUCCACGUGUGUGUUGGUGUGUUGGGUAGAGCCCUUAAUUCCUUUAUGCUUACUGCAACCGCUGUUUGAAAGAAAACGGGGAAAUGUUUAUCGACUGAAUGUUCGAUGACCGUCGUGGGCUUUCUGAAUAAGGACAGUACCUUGUCUUGCCAACAUAAAUUUCAGCGUACAGCCUACCGAUUUUUUAACACUGCCGCGCGAGUGUCGACUGGCCAACGGGGCAGCGCCUUCCAACGACACCAAGUGACGAGAUCAGCAAGAGUAGCGCAUGCGCACCAAGUUCAAUCGAAGCGCAACUUUCGUCUGCUAGGCUCUUCCUACCAGCAUGGAGAAAGAAGUUCAACAAGAGGGUACACUCGGCGAGAACUGGCAACAGGAAAUACGCCACGCUAAUAUUAACGCCAUCCGUUAGCUCCGGCGAGCAUCGGAAAAUAAGAAUGUGAAAUGAAGUUAACAGACCGUGUUUUAUCUUUUUAUUCUUUCCCGCUAAAAGUGAAAAAAAAGUUUUGGAUACAAAUUACCUUAUCUUUUGCGACUUACUUUUCUUGCGUCACCUAGCAACAAGCUCACGGCACUCCAAACGAGCCAGAUACAUUCGUCAUGCGCCAGACACGCCGCUGAAGCGAGCGAGGCCGACUGUGCUUGUGAAGUUCGCCAGUUCGGCGACCCGUCUCUCUCUCUCUUUCUUCUUUUUGGAAGUAGCCUGGUUGGUUGGGCUCCCGGCGUAUUCUUGCGUUCCUUCUGCACUUCACGGCACCACUGCACUAUUGGACUACGGCAAGGCACGCUUGCCGCGCCUGGCGCUGUGACGAAGUGAGCGGAAAGCAGCUCGGUCGUUUUUGAGAAGCUGACGCCGUCCGGUGGAGCUAUGUACGGGAUCUGCUGCUGCUUACCUGGUGCCACAACGUUGGAUGAAUGCCCCAAAAGCCCGAAAAGAGCAGUCAUAUAAGCUUUCGACCCGUUGCCAAUGGACAUAUUGGCAAUACGCUAAAUAUGAUACCGCCCGAACUGUUAUUAGCCCCGAGAACGAACGCGAGCGGCGCUGCGAGCGCCGCUCGCGUGACGUCAGGGCACGGACUCGUGCCUGUCGUCUGCUACAGUUCGGGUGUUGUCCGGGCGCAUUCUGCGGUGUUUUCGUUUGUUCGCCCUCGUUCUCUCUGCUUGUAUACUCAUGGUGGUCGUCUCAAAUAUAUUUUUACGUCUUCCUUUGCGAA